RNAcentral lists this ribosomal RNA (190 nucleotides) under uncultured Paraglomus. RNAcentral describes it as "partial 18S ribosomal RNA". It matches the Rfam family "Eukaryotic small subunit ribosomal RNA", at positions 1644 to 1831 of the family's 1831-position model. The record is from RNAcentral. Lineage: Eukaryota; Fungi; Glomeromycota; Glomeromycetes; Paraglomerales; Paraglomeraceae.
AUUACGUCCCUGCCCUUUGUACACACCGCCCGUCGCUACUACCGAUUGAAUGGCUUAGUGAGACUUUCGGAUGUGUUUGGAGCCGCUGGCAACAGUGACACCUUGCGCAGAAGUUAUUCAAACUUGGUUAUUUAGAGGAAGUAAAAGUCGUAACAAGGUUUCCGUAGGUGAACCUGCGGAAGGAUCAUUA